This is a long non-coding RNA of Gasterosteus aculeatus aculeatus (three-spined stickleback), 7239 nucleotides long. RefSeq lists it as uncharacterized. The record is from RefSeq and is a predicted model, not a curated record. Lineage: Eukaryota; Metazoa; Chordata; Actinopteri; Perciformes; Gasterosteidae.
AGGAAAAUAAAACAGAGGUCUCAAUCUCAAGCUCAAUACUGAAUGCUAUUAAUGUCGUUGCAUAUUUCACUUGAGCUUUUGUGCAUAAUGUGUUUCUCCCCCCACAGUGUCUCCAUGCGGAUGUGAACGGCUUGAUGUCUGAUCACAGCAUCCAUAAGUGAUCUCACAGGUUGGUCCCUCGCGAGAGAUUCAUUACAAAAGGUCUUUGAUUGUGGAAAUCUUCCAUCUAACAAAAACAAGUUUUUGGAAAUGAAAGAGACAUGACAUCAGAGGGGGGGUUAAAGAGGAACAACUACAAAUGAACAGCAACUGAAAAGAACAGAUAUCAACUCACUAUAUAAGGGUGUGUGUGUAGAUGCAGUUGGCAGUGAAUAAUAAAACUAUUUUCAUCCUACGACGUAAAGAUUAAAGAGAAGGAUCGUGGAAGCUGGUCGAGCCCUUUGUGAAAGCAGACAGACUUCAGGAACUGCAGCCGACUGUUGCGAGAACAAAGGUUGUACAUUUGAAAGAGACGGCUCGGGAUGCAGAUACAAAAGGAUGCACCAUGAGACACACACACACACACACACACACUCAAUAACACACACCCCUUCUCCCCGGCGAGCCCCGUUGACGUGAUUGGGUCUCGUGGACCACUGGGCGACUUUAAUAAGGCUAUCGGGAACAUUAGACCAUUCCUUGGUAGCAUGAGGGGAGACGGGUGGGUGAGGAGGGGGCUUGGUCAUAUUCUCCUAAGGCCGUGGGGGGGGGGCAAAUCAAACAUUCAUCAUACACGGUUGGCAAAGAAGGAAGGCAUUAAAAAUACAACAGGCUGACCAAAGUCUCCGAAGGGACGCGUGAGUUGUUUCCACGAGGUGGGCUGAUGGAUGACACCGCUGCGGCCUUUUUCCUCAUGCACGUGCGUUCAUGUCUAUGUGCCCGUAGAGGCAGUUCAAAAAAAUGAAAAUGAAAGGAUUUUAAUAAUUAAAUUCUUAAACCACGUGGGUCUUACAAAACUUGAAACCCUGUGAUGCUUUGGGUCACUUGUAGAGACAAAAGAAAAUGCAUAAUGUACCGCGUGAGUCUGGAAAACAGAGGGAUGUGUUCAGAGACAACACACACAAUAAGUAAAUAUAUAGUAAAAUAUGAAGCAUAUAAAUGGUAACAUUACUUGUCAGGAAAACAUGAUGGGAAGGAUUAGUGAUUUGAAGAUGGUUAAAAUACAAUUGGAAUUGGACAAUCAUUUUUUCUGUUUUGUUUCUUUCCCUUUUUAACUAUGUGUUUUUUCUGUUGUAUUUUUCACAUGUUUUCUUUUACAUAAUGCACCUGCACUGCCUAAGACAGUUCCCUUUGUUUUUUUUAUGUUGCUUUGAAAAUUCACAUAUCAAAGUGCUGCCAGCCGCGCGGCUUUCAGCCGGCCAAAAGGUUCCCAAAUCUGACCCAACGCGAGACACUUUGGAGCCCAUGUUUUUAGGUCUGAUUCGGUUACUUCACCGUCAGCAAUGUAAAAAGCACUCUCCAUCACCGAGUGCCCCUCUCUGCCCCGCCUGGUAUCUCUGUGGUCCGGCCCCUGCAGAGCCGACAACACCAAUGUGUCACGCUGUAGAGUGUGUGUGUGUGUGUGUCAGUGGGAGUGCUAGGUGUCUGAACAUGCAGUACAAUUGACCGAGUGAGACGGAAGCGGAGUGGCCCAGCAGAGUUCAAUCAAUGGGUUUGGACGAGCACCCGGUGUUGCGCUCAGUACUGUAGGACGUCUGUAUCGGAGAAGCAGGCUUUACUUUUCUAUUAUUGUUUGACUUCCUGUCCAUUGAAUCCCAGGCAGCGGAUAUUAGCUUCCAACCUUUUUUUCUAGUACACAAAGGUCAGAAAGACCUUAUGCUGUGCACAGCAGGGAGGGGUGUGUGACUGAUGUACCCAUGCAAUAGUUUUAGACCAACAACUAUUGCAUUGCACACGGAGCAAAAACAUUAGUAUUGAUAUUAGCUUUGAUGAUCCUCAUGCAAUAACUUCUAACCUCUAGCAGGUAAAAUGUUUGUACUACACAAAGUGCUGAUCCCCAAAGCUCUCAUCAUCUGGUCAGAAUGAAAACCUUCCCAUAAGCCUCGGCUGUAGCUGCUGAUUAGCACAUAUGUUAGCAUAAGAUGGUGUACAUGUUAAGCAGCAUACUUGCUACACCUGCAUGUCAGCAUGCUGACGUUAUUAGCAUUUAGCUCAAAGCACCGCUGUGACCAGGCACGGCCUAAAGGAAACAUCUGGGUCCAAUGUGUCAGAUAUUUUCUUUGCAUUAGAAUGCAUUGGCAGAUGUUGAGUUUCCUGCAGAUGUGUAGUGCAGUGAAGGAGAGGCUUUGCAAUAACUGGACUGACAGCUCCCUCGUGUGGUACUUUUAUAGAAUUGGUUAUGUUGCUGGCACUGAUUAUUAUUAUGUUCUCUUUAGCACAAAGGAAUGACAGUGAAUCACAUCUGGCCUAUUGAAUGGUUGUGUGCUUUAUUCUGGUAGAUUAAAUCCAGCAGCAAAUGAAAGGAGCGUUCAGAUCCGCAAAAAAACGCACUGAAUACUAUUUGUAGUAUCCUCAUCUAAAUGUAUCAUCUGGAGCAAAGAUGCAGAAAAAUGCAGAGAAAUCUCGCGUCACUGACGGGAUAUUUUUCAUUAAUUAUUAGAUUAUUAUUUCAAAUUAAUUCAAGUGUUUCAAAUAUUAAGUUUGUGUAUGAGCUGUAAGUAGCUUCAUUCCACCACUAAAAGGUUAUUUUCCACAUAGUUUGAUAGUAAAGGCAGGCAGCUCCUUAUGAUCUCCUACAGUGUAUAAUUUGCAUUAUUAUUGUGUAAUUUUCUUUGUGGCUGUGUCCAGAAGGAGAAACAUUUCACGCAUCAUUACAUCAUACACUUCUUCUCUGAUUCUCACACAACCCGCUCAAACAUGUCAUUACCUUGAAUUAACGCCGGUGAUAACCAUCUGUCAGGUCUGAUUUUUGCACGCCGCUGUGUUUUGUUAACAGCCAACUGCUUCACUUAAGGCAGGUUAACUGCAACAUCAGCCAAUUUAUUGCCUCAAUUUGCACAGUGGGUCAUUAUUUGUAAUUAAAACACAACCAGGGAGUGGAGCUGUGGUGCCAUAAUGUGAGGAAACAUCACCUACAUCCAUCUUAGUGGGAUCAGUUUUGACUUUCAUGCGAAUCAUAAUGAAGGACGUUGGAUCUUACAUUUGAAACCUGUGAGAAUUAAAGGAAUACUUCCACAUCUCUUUCACAUACGUCCUUUACACAUUAGGCCACAACCUGCAGCUCAGGUUAGCAUAACAGGGAGCUUAAAGAUCGCUUGUGUGCAAAUUAAGUCUUUUAAAUACUCUUUUAAGACCUAAAUUAAGAUUGCACUCCAAACUGAGUAAGUUGCUUUAGUGCUGAUGUGUGAGAUGUGCCUCAGGAGGUGGAGAGUUAAUGUACUCGUGUGCUCGCUGCUUUCUGGGCCACCAGUUUCCAUUUCAACAAGGACAUUAAGGCAACAGCGGGGUCCAUUAAAUCCACAAACUGCCUUUCCCUCGAAAUCCUUGCCACCUGCGGCAGAACAUCACAAGUGGCAGCCGCCUUCCCGGCAUGUAAGCUGAACUGUGGGAAAACACUGACAGUACUGUACAUGUCGCAGAGCUUUACUGACCAACAUCGGGCCAAAGUGCACUGAAAAUACUAGACGAGAGAACUCGCUCUCCCAGGGAAAAGCAGAGACGUCCCUUUGCAUCCGAGCAGUCAUUCCUGCACUCGGCUCUGUAGAUUCGCAACCUCAGAAUUAAAUGUUGAAACAUGAUGUUCUGUGCCAAUCAGUGCCGAGGUUCUCCCACCGGACCGUACUGUGCUUUAAUCUGCUUCCCAUCAGGUUAAAGGAUCACUCACUUCUUAUCUGACUAACUGUAAGGUAUCCACCAACGCGUUGACUGAUCCUAAGCUCUUAAACACACAUUUACGCACACGCACACACACACACACACACACACACACACACACACACUAUUGGCUGACUUUUUUUUGGCCUUCCAUCUGUAACAGCUCAGUUAUGUAUCAAUGGAAGUGGUGUUUUUGCUUCUCUGCAAUUUUUGCUCUCCUCAUUAAAUUUGUUUCUUCCUGUUCAUAUUUGAACUCUGCUAAAGACAUUUUUGUAUUUCAUUGUGUUCAAUGCACUUUAUGCACUUUUAAUCAAUAUUUCUAUAUCAACAACGGGACCCUGUGCAUUGACUUUCCUUGAAGCCCUGUGUUUAAGGAAAGUUUGGGCUUCCUUCUCUUCCCUGGUAUGAAAACGUCUUUCUCCUGGUAAAUGUAGAAAAGUAAACCAUCAGGUUGUUUUUCCUGAAAUUGUCUUUCAGCCUUUGGUGGUUAAAAUCAUUUGGUCUCUUUCAUGGUGGUUUUUGGGAGUCGAGUGGAAGAACAAAAUCGUCCUCACGCUGCACAAUGUCGAGGUCUUGGUCGAUGUUGAGUGCUGUCCGUGGUGCUGAACGUGCAACCGCCACAACGUCGCUGUUUGAGUGACUUUGGACUUGCUGUUUACUUUUGGAUGGAAAGGUCUAAUAGUGCGCGUUGGACACUCUAUCAUACCUUACCGUUCUUAGAAAUAAUAGGAAGAGUCAUCAAGUAAAGAUCGACUCAUAUUGAUUGAACCGGAAUUAAAAGACACAGUAAAUAAGUAUAUCAUUUCAUUGGAGUCUGUUGACAUAUAAACCUGAAAGAUAAUUCCAUAUUCAUAUUGAAUUCAUCACAAAACUACAAGUACAGCUACAUAUUUUUUUAAAAUUUUGAUAUGCUGCUCAGCUCAAUAUGAUCAAAUGAAAGGAAAUUGAAAGAGCAGCAUUUAUAAGAUAACAAUGAAUAUUGGGCUUCAAACCACUUCACUUUAUCAGGAAUAUUUUGACAAAAGCUUAUAGAAAAGAUAUUGACAGAGACUUCUUUAAGCAUUUGAGAAUUGUUGUUGAGCAUGUUUUCUCUGACUCAUAAUGCAGAUAAAAGCUGAACUUCUCUGUUUGAUCAGUUGCUUGUGAUCACAGAGGCCCACAUGCAACAACGUCACAACGCAGCAAUGACGCAGCGACGAGGAAGGCUGUGUAUUUUCUGUGAACAUGGCAUUUCCUGUAAAAGUUCCCUUUGAAAGGCUCAUUGAGUGUGUGCAGACGGCGGCAGACUCCCACACAUGAAUGCAUCAGUAGCAGGGAAGACAAACAGGUGUUUUUUCUUGGGGGAGAAUUUUUGAUCUGCACACUGUGAGUUUCUCACGAACUCGGUGCGUGACCUUUUUUGGGAAGCACCGUGACCUAAACCGGUGCAGGGCGGUAUACUGUUUCUACAGAUGGAACCCAUGUGUACCUCGACUGAUCCAUAUCUUGUUUUUCUCUCUACCUUUUGCCUGGGACUCAUUGAGUCACUCCCCCGGACGCUCAGGUGGCGGCACGGAUCUCUGCCUCUCUGACUGACAUCUGUGGGUGGGUGUCUGCUCAACCAUCAACCACGACAAGACUGAACCACUUCUCCUUCCCGGGAAAAGAUUCUCCGACCCAGGAACUGACGGUUACCUUUGGCAACUCCGUGUUAACGCCCGCUUUGACUGCGAGGAACCUCGGCGUGCCACUCGACAGCCAACUCUCCGUGACUCCCAACGCCAUUGCGACAACACAAUCCUGUAGACACACGCUCUGCAACCUCAGGAGAAUACGUCUCCUCCUCAGAAGGAACUGGAGUCAGGCCGCUGCUGGUGUGCGUGGCAGCGGCGGUGGGGCCUGCCCAGCGUCACUGUCUCCUGCCAACGGGUGUGCCAGCUGGUCACUGCAGUCAUCUUCUCUGUAAGCAAUGCUGUGUUUGUAAAACCGAACACAGAUCUAAGUGAGACAGGUCUUAAGCAUGUUAGGGAAACGGGUUGGAUACAACCAGGUCUGUUGUUAUAAUUAACGUUGGUUUAAGUGGACAAAUACAUGAAGGCAUUGCAUGUAAAGCAUUUUGCAACAUUCUCGCUCCGCAGUCUCCAGAGGAACGAUCCAACGCGCAGUCCAGCAGCGGCGCCAAUUAAUAACGAAUCACACGCGUGCCCCAUAAGCAUGCUCACCGACGAAUUAAAUGUGCCCUCUUUCUCUGGGAAAGCACUUCUGUUAGGCAGAUCACACACAAACUAUUUGGCCUGCGUCCCGGGGACUCCAGGGCUCACAACAUGAUCGCAGGCGCGGUCCAGCCGGGGUCACUCCGAGCGCUGCUCAGCCCGGACUCCUUUCCCACGGAAACCGUGAGCAGCGGCUCAAGAGACGGCAAAAAACAAGCUGCGGCAGUGAGAGUUUGCAAUGAUGACCCUCAUUUAUCACAUGCGAGGGCCUUUCGUAUGUGCUGAUAGUCACACUUAUAUUACAGAUAUUAUUAACACAUUUGUGGGAAUUGGCUCUCUUGCGGUGAGUUAGCUAGUUUAGCCUUUAAUAUGGGUCUUUUUUUACAUUUUAAUAUGAUAAAAUUGGAUUUUACAGAAAUAACUAUCUAAAUGAUUCCGUGAAGUCUUGACCAUUUCUAACUACGUUGCUAAUAGGUCGCAGCACAGUGUUAAUAGUUUAAAAUCAUACAAAACUGACCCCUCUCAUCAGUAGACACCUGAUUUGAACCACGCAACAAAUAAAAAAUAUGUUUUUUUGUCACUGUUGUGAUAUUUGAGUGAAAUUCAUUUGAAAAAAGGGGGGUGUUUUAACAGCAAGCAAGAUUUAGUGAGAGUUUUUUCCUUUUUUUGGUAGACGUGUUUUUCUGUUUCUCCUCCAUUAAUUACAUUCUAUCAUCUGGAGAACAUAUUUUUCAUCUCACACAUCAUUACCAAGUCACAUAAAUCAGAGAGUACUUCACUUCAUGUCUCGACUGGUUGGCAAAAGGCAUUCAAGGAUGCGUGGCAUUUCAUAUUCUAUAAAAGAUGAUCAGCGUUGGUUAAAGACUGGAGUUUAUAAACUGAAAACAGGUUUUAUCUUGAAGAAUCACGCUGCACCAAUCGGCAAACUUGCAAGGUAUGCAGCUAAAAAAAUGAGAAUGUUUCCAGAUGAGAGUGAUUGCUGGUAUACUUGAAAAAUGGCUCCUUUCCAAAGGUUUCUAUUUCAUUUCAAAGUGCUGUUUUCCGCUGAAUGGCCGAGGCUUACUGGCAAUUACCUCAAACAAAUGAUCCAUGCGUUCAUUUAUUCUCCCUCAUAUCAUCAUCAUCUCUGUCCCCUUGCUCAACUCAAAUCAUAUUUUUCCGGUUUUCCUACUUCUUAAUUAAAGGUUCAGAUGUU